ACGGUAUCUUGGUGUUUCCAUUAUUGAUCGUAGUAUAAGGAGAGCAAAUUGCAUUGGUGUGGAGUCAGCAAUCAGAGAGCGGUUGGAGGGAUGACAGGCUCGUGCCUUUUCUAUGAUAGAAAGAGUCAUUCUGGUGAGAUCUGUUCUAAGCUCCAUACUAAUUUAUCUCUUUUUAAAUUCAGUGUUGUCUAAGACUAUGAUUGGC
RNAcentral lists this long non-coding RNA (205 nucleotides) under Elaeis guineensis (African oil palm). RNAcentral describes it as "long non-coding RNA (EGUI_LNC003408)". Lineage: Eukaryota; Viridiplantae; Streptophyta; Magnoliopsida; Arecales; Arecaceae. The record is from RNAcentral.